AUUGAACGCUGGCGGCAUGCUUUACACAUGCAAGUCGAACGGUAACAGGCCUUCGGGUGCUGACGAGUGGCGAACGGGUGAGUAAUGCAUCGGAACGUACCCAGAGGUGGGGGAUAACGCAGCGAAAGCUGUGCUAAUACCGCAUGUGAUCUGAGGAUGAAAGCGGGGGACCGAGCAGCAAUGUUUGGCCUCGCGCCUUUGGAGCGGCCGAUGUCGGAUUAGCUAGUUGGUGGGGUAAAGGCCUACCAAGGCGACGAUCCGUAGCUGGUCUGAGAGGACGACCAGCCACACUGGGACUGAGACACGGCCCAGACUCCUACGGGAGGCAGCAGUGGGGAAUUUUGGACAAUGGGCGCAAGCCUGAUCCAGCAAUGCCGCGUGCGGGAAGAAGGCCUUCGGGUUGUAAAACGCUUUUGGCAGGAACGAAACGGUGUCCGCUAAUACCGGGCGCUAAUGACGGUACCUGCAGAAUAAGCACCGGCUAACUACGUG
This 492-nucleotide ribosomal RNA is filed under the name uncultured bacterium. Its description in RNAcentral is "partial 16S ribosomal RNA". It matches the Rfam family "Bacterial small subunit ribosomal RNA", at positions 29 to 507 of the family's 1533-position model. The record is from RNAcentral.